Molecule: ribosomal RNA, 246 nt
Filed under: uncultured bacterium
Lineage: Bacteria
Description: partial 16S ribosomal RNA
Rfam family: Bacterial small subunit ribosomal RNA
Source: RNAcentral
AAUCAUGGCUCAGAUUGAACGCUGGCGGCAGGCUUAACACAUGCAAGUCGAGCGGGGAGAUGUAGCUUGCUACAUUUCCUAGCGGCGGACGGGUGAGUAAUGCUUAGGAAUCUGCCUAUUAGUGGGGGACAACAUUCCGAAAGGAAUGCUAAUACCGCAUACGCCCUACGGGGGAAAGCAGGGGAUCUUCGGACCUUGCGCUAAUAGAUGAGCCUAAGUCAGAUUAGCUAGUUGGUGGGGUAAAGG